Chinchilla lanigera (long-tailed chinchilla) is the source of this 1582-nucleotide RNA transcript. It is a transcript of the gene named probable ATP-dependent RNA helicase DDX5, with no coding region annotated. The transcript has 5 exons. Lineage: Eukaryota; Metazoa; Chordata; Mammalia; Rodentia; Chinchillidae. The record is from RefSeq and is a predicted model, not a curated record.
GUAGUUGCCCGGCCGGGAGAGUCGGCGGGACGAGGCCAGAGUCGAGAAGUGGAUCCGAGGACGCGAGGCCUUGGAAGAGUCUGAGAUGAAAGAAAACUGCCGCAGAGCUCUGUUAUCAAAGCAAAGCACAACCCAGCACUGCAUUUGAAAUAACUCCAGCAAACACUAUGCCUCCUGCACAGAACUUGUUGGGUUACUCCCACAAAUGUCACAGGUGUGGUCAAAAAUAGGCUGAAUGCUGCUGCAGAACACCAUCCAAAGGAAAGGGAGCUCAUACAAACAGUACAGCAUGUCCUCAUUCACCUUGUUCAUCAGAUCUGGCACCAUGCAGCUUCUGGCUCUUCAUCAAAAUCAAAAUGGUCAUGCAAGGUAAACAUCUUGAGCCAACUGAGGACACUGAGGAGCUAUAACAGUGUGAUUCAAGACACUCAUGAAAGAGGACUUCCAGAGCUAUUUCUUCAGGAAGUGGCAAGAAUGAUGGGAGGUUCCAGUGAGCAAUGAAGGGACGUGUGUAAGCAUCCAGAGAAGGAGAAACCUGCGGGUAAAUUUCCAGGAGGUUGGCAGCUUGGACCAAAUGGUGUGCAGCCUGAAUCCCAGCCAUGGAGGCUGGUGCUUGAACCUUGCUGAGCAGCACCCCAGGCAGUGGCAGGGAAGAAGAGGACAGAAGGGAGGGCAGUGGGUGUCAUUCCCAUGAGUCCCAGGGACGCGGCCCAACUUUGUGAAGAGCGUGGCUGUGCGUGUGAGCUGACGGGAUGUUUUUGACCAGGGUUCUCAUGAGAGUUGUGUGCAGACAGCAGUGCUUCAGGGCUAUUGCAGCCAGAUGGGGCUAGCCCUGGGAAGCACACAGCAAAGCACCCAUGCCUCUCAGGUGCUGUCACCUGCAGCAGCUUGGAGGAAGAAGACUUUAAAAUGUGUUCCUCCUGGGGCUGGGGAUUUAGCUCAGCGGCAAAGCACCUGCCUGGCAAGUGCAAGGUCGUGAGUUCGGUUCCCAGUACCGGAGAAAAACCAAAAAAAAAAAAAAAAUGUGUUCCUCCUAAACACAUUCGAGAAACAUAUAGAAGUAACAACUGUUGUCAUUUCUACAGGGCACUGACUUCCUGAUGGUGAGAGAUAGCAAGUCAGCAAAGUUCAGGGGCUGCCUAUUUAUGAGACUUCUUUGCAGCACUUACAAAGGGUCGCUUGGGAUCCUGUGCUAUUAAUCUUCAUCAUCAAGUUGACUGGAUUGAGAAACUCGUGGAGGGGUGAUUGAUUCUGAGGGCUCAGAUCCCAUCACAUUUGAAUGGGCUAUUAGUAGGUGGGGCCUGAUAGAGGAAAUGGGUCAUCAGGGUGUGACUUUGGGGACUGUCCUGGUCCCUGGCCCCUUUCUCUGGCUCUUUCCAACUCACUCUGCUUCUCAGCCACCAAGAACUGAGCAGCUGUCCUCCGCCAUGCCCCUCUGCCAUGAUGCCUUUGCAGCAGAGCCACCAGUCAAGUGACUCAUCUGGAACUAUGAGCCAAGUCAAACCGCUCCUCCUUUAAGCUGCUGUGUCAAGUAUUUUGUCCCAGCAAUGGGAAAGCUGUUUAAUAAAGAUUCUAAAAUAUA